This 82-nucleotide transfer RNA is filed under the name Candidatus Borkfalkia avicola. RNAcentral describes it as "tRNA-Leu". It matches the Rfam family "tRNA". Rfam says of the family: Transfer RNA (tRNA) molecules are approximately 80 nucleotides in length. Their secondary structure includes four short double-helical elements and three loops (D, anti-codon, and T loops). The record is from RNAcentral. Lineage: Bacteria; Bacillati; Bacillota; Clostridia; Christensenellales; Christensenellaceae.
GCGGGCGUGGCGGAAUGGCAGACGCGCCGGAUUUAGGAUCCGGUGGGAAACCGUGCAGGUUCGACCCCUGUCGCCCGCACCA